UGAGGAAUAUUGGACAAUGGAUGGAAAUCUGAUCCAGCCAUGCCGCGUGCAGGAAGACGGCCCUAUGGGUUGUAAACUGCUUUUGUAUGGGAGCAAUAAGGACUACGUGUAGUUUGAUGAGAGUACCAUACGAAUAAGCAUCGGCUAACUCCGUGCCAGCAGCCGCGGUAAUACGGAGGAUGCGAGCGUUAUCCGGAUUUAAUGGGUUUAAAGGGUGCGUAGGCGGCGAUAUAAGUCAGUGGUGAAAUAUUUCGGCUUAACCGAGAGACUGCCAUUGAUACUGUGUUGCUAGAAUAUGGUUGCUGUGAGUGGAAUGUGUGGUGUAGCGGUGAAAUGCUUAGAUAUCACACAGAAUAUCGAUUGCGAAGGCAGCUCACAAAGCCAUUAUUGACGCUGAGGCACGAAAGUGUGGGGAUCAAACA
RNAcentral lists this ribosomal RNA (422 nucleotides) under uncultured bacterium. Its description in RNAcentral is "bacterial SSU rRNA". It matches the Rfam family "Bacterial small subunit ribosomal RNA", at positions 355 to 774 of the family's 1533-position model. The record is from RNAcentral.